CCUGAGCAGGCGAGCGCCCCUUUCCUCCAGCAGGUACACUUUGUACCCAGGUAUGGAAAAACAUGGAUUUUCCUUUGUGUUGCAUGGAGUGUGGGUUUACAGGGACAUCUCAUAACCCCAGGAAGAUGAAGUUCCAAAAACUGGGCAACACAUUGUUCUCUCGCUGUUCCCACGCGGAGGAUGAGGAUAAGACGGGCGGAGGACAGAGAGAGUGCUGUGCUAGAAGCCGUGUUCGAGGACCUUCCUCCUGACCUCGCUCCUGGUGUGGCCCCCAGGCAGGAGACACCAGACAAGCACAGGGGGUCACGGAACCAGGGCUGUGUUCUCAGGGAGCAUCUCCCGAGUUGGUGUUUUUAGUUCAAGGUUCUUGGGUUCUACUCCUGUGUUUACACACAUUCCUGUGUGGGGACAUGAUCCUGUUGGACUUUUUGAGGGUUUAGGAGAAGCUGAGCUUCUAGAAACUGAACAGAACACGGAGCUGCAAAGGAGAAGCCAGUGUCCUUCACCACAGAGCUGCACCCACACCUGGCCUAGGACAUGGAGGUGCCGUGGGAGCCCGAGAUGCCAUGAGCCCAUGAAAAUGGAGACGCAGUGUGGUUUUGCAGGGACGCAGAUCUGGGUCUGAUUCUGGCUCUGCCACUCACUAGCUGUGUGACCUGGGGAAAGUUAAUCAACAUCUCUGAGCCUCAGUUCCCUUCUCUCUCCAAUGGCUGUAAGAGCGCUUGUAGGGCUGUUGGGGAUAUUGCAAGAGAUCUAGAGCAAGUUGCCUGCACGCAGAGGGGGAUCC
Molecule: long non-coding RNA, 787 nt
Organism: Lutra lutra (Eurasian river otter)
Lineage: Eukaryota; Metazoa; Chordata; Mammalia; Carnivora; Mustelidae
Exons: 3
Source: RefSeq, a predicted model, not a curated record